AGGAUGCACUUCUUGGAGAUUUUAUUGCUUAUGUUCGGAUGUGGAUCUUUCUAAAGAAAAGAAAACCUAUAUUUGUCUUCUUCAAAAACACUGUACCUCCAAAGGGUGAGAUGCGCAUGCAACUCCUUUUUUAAAAUAGGCAUAUAUAUAAUAAUAGUAUCUUCGUUCCCAACUCUCCUUUGUCUUUCAAUGAAUGUUACAGGUGCCACUUUGGGUGCAAUUGAUGAGGAAAAUAAGGAUGAAGAUGGAUUUCUUCACAUGACCUACAGUGGGAAUGAUACCUUCAGCUACAGUGGGAAUGAUGUGACCUGUUGAUUAUUUAUAGUUUAUCCUCUUGAUCUUGAGAUCAAUCGGCUAGCUUAUUAUGGUGCUACAAGUAUUUAUUUUUUUGACAAAGGAUUUUCAUGCAUGGAGUAGAAAUAUUUUAAUGAUUUGCUAGUGAUGUUUAUGUUCAUCACAAUAAACUAAUGAGUUGGUGAGAUUGACGUGAAGAAGUUAGUUGCAAAUUCAAUUCCCUUGUACUUUAAGUACCAUGGAAUAGAAAUGUUUUAAUUCCAUACACCUCAGGCUCUCGUCCAUAAUGGUAAUGGACUAAAGUUUAUUUUGCCUACCAAGUAUUAUUUACUAUCAUCAUCAUAAACUAUCCUGACAACCUCCACUCUUUUACUCAGAGCAUCAUCACUAUAAUCCAUAUCAGUUUCAUCCCUAUGAUUUCCAUUUCCUCUCCAACAUGGAUAAUAAGACGAUUAAAUAAUACAGUAGGCUCAUCGUUGAGUUGCUUCCAAGUUAGUGUCGAAUCAUCCAACAAAAUAAUAGUGUGAUUAUCCUCGUCAAAAUCGUCUAAGUUUUCAAAAUGAUAAUCCUCAAACUUGUACCAAGUGCUUCAUGAAUAAUACUUAAAACCAUACUCCGCCAUAUAUAAACAACCAUAUUGGAUCAUAACAUAUUUAAUCAUCCGCUCUAACUUCUCCGCAUUCAUAUAGUUUUAAUGGUCCAAAAACCCAAUCUAUUACGAUGCCCAAUCAAUUGUCCUAAACACCUAUACAUAGUGAAGGUCAGUGGAGUUUUAUAACUAUGAUGCAAUAUUGAACUCGUUUAUUUUGAACUCCAUCUUUGUCACAUUCCGGGAUCGGCUCCGUCGUAACACGAUAUUAUUCGCUUUGGGUCCCCUUCUCUACCCUCAAGGUGUUUCUAGAAACUCACGAGCAACUUUCCAGUGGGUCACCCAUCCUAGGAUUGCUCUAGCCUAACUCGCUUAACUUCAGAGUUCCCAUAACUCCGAAGCCAGUGAGCUCCCAAAAGGUCUCGUGCUAGAUGAAAGUAAGCAUGUACAUAUAAAGCACAUCACCCCUCUCCGUUGGUCAAUGUGGGAUGUUACAAUCCACCCCUCUUAAAGACCCGACGUCAUUGUCGGUACACUCGCACCACACGGCAUAGUAGCUCUGAUACCAAAUUGUCACAUUCCGGAAUUGGCUCCGCCGUAGCACGAUAUUAUCCACAGACAUUCCAUCUCCAUUUAUAGUAUCAUCUCCUUCAUCUAAAUCUCUUUCAUCCUAUUCAUCCAAAUCAUCUUCAUCCUAUUUAUCUAAAUCAUCUUCCUCUUGAAUGUUAUGUAUGACGUGCACAAGUUUUAGGAGGUCAAGAACUUGCUGCCAAGACAAGUCGAAUAUGUAGAGUUCAUUCCCUCCUAAAUAAUACUUAAAACUAUAUUUCGUCAUAUCUAAACAUGUGGACCAUGGCGAGCGAACAAGAAGUUAUAAAUUGAAAAACCAUGUGGACCAUGGCGAGCAUCUAUGUCUAACGAAGUUGGGGGAAGGGAUUAUCCUGAUAUUAGUGAAUACAGGAACGUUCAUUCAACAUUAUCAGGAUUUUAGUGAAUACAUUAUCAAUUUGAAAAUUUCGACGACGUUGACGAGAAUACUCGUACCAUUAUUCUACUGGAUGAUUUUGCAUUAACUUGGGAGGAACUCAACGAUAAGCUAGAUGUGGUAGCCUGCAAAAUUGGACUUGUGUAACAUGUUGAGGAUUUAUGUCGAAAGAAUUUGGAGGAGGAUAAUUUUCGUACCAUCACUCUGCUGGAUGAUUCGACAUUAACUUGGGAGAAAUUCAACGAUGAGCUAGACAUGGUAGCCCACAAAAUUGUGAUCAUCUAUAUCGAACGGAGUUUGGACUUGUGGACCUCGUCAAGCAUCUAAAUUGAACGGAGUUGGAGGAGGGGAUUACAAUUAUGAUCAUGCAACAUUAUCAUUGAGUACAAGUUUGAGUCUUAUCAAUUUGAAAAUUUGGAUGACUUUGACAAGCAUACUCGUACCAUGUAGUUUCUUAAAACAAGUUGCAUAUUGUUGCUGUCUUUAACAUAGGUUAGGUACCUACCUUGAGGAUUAACAAUGGAAGAUUACUAUUUGCCGGAUAUGUAAUGAAAAGACGAUAAAUUUUGAAAAACCAAAUAAUAAUUGUUCAAAACCCCAACUCAAUUGCAUAUUUGCUCCACUGGCAAGCAAUUCAACAUGCAAUUCAUUAUUCAUUAAUCUUGACUCGAUGUUGUAUUAUUAGAUGUGCAGAAUAAAGACAAAAAUAAUCAUUUGUAACUAGGAAAGGAGACUGAAGGCAUACGACAAACAUAUACGGAAACAUAUUAUGAAUAUGAAGCCUAGUCCAUGGCAGAGAACUUACAAUAUAGCUCCCCCACCAUCAAAAGAAUGGGGUUGUUAGAAAAUCUAUCUUCAUCUUUCCAGCUGCCAUUGGGGGUUGAUUUCCUGAGCUAGAACGGAGAAUGGCCCCCCACGGCAAUCCCUUUUCCUUAACUGUGUAAUCGUUCUAUAUUUUUGGUAUUACGUACAUUCUCUAUAUCAACGUAGACAUAGCCUGGGCGGGAAUGGAAAAAUAAAAAACAUCUGCAUGUUUUUUCCAGAUUAUCCGCACAUCCUUCAUGAGAUUGGAAGAAUAUCAGCCAUUCAUUGAGAAAACCUCGCAUUCCAAAUAGCGUUCUUGUCCUCACCGCAACGUUCGUGAACAUCCAUUAUCCUCUCAACAGACCUGCAAAUCCCGCUGCAUCGCCAAUCAAAUGAAGCAGCGCAGAUGUUGCCUGUCAUAGCCUUCCACACACAAUCUGCAGAACAUAGUACAACAUCAACUCUAUAGCAUGCAUGUAAGCAGGAAUUUACCUAUUUGUCUACUUCUGGAAUUCAUGCUUUAAAUUCCUACUAAAGACAGAUGGCAGGCUAUGCCCCAUACUGCAGGUGCAACACCCAAGCUAAAGUUAUUAUAUCUCAAAUGACCAUAGGCAAAACAAAUCAUUCAAACGAAAACUACUACAGGAGAGUCAAAGAUUUUCAAAUUACCUGGUGGGGUACCACAACAGAGUCUCCUGUCAUCCACCUGUUCUACGUCUAAACCAAUAAACCAAGAUCCCAACGAAACAUCUUCAUUGGCAUAUUUGUGCAGCACAUCCCUUCCACAAUCAGGAAAUAAGAAUAGAUUAAGGCAUUUUCAAGAAGCACAAAGUCUAUAUUAUCUAAUUAAUAUUGCAACUCACUCAAUAAUCAACAGGAUUAAAGGCUUUGAGUUUCAUUUAGCCCAAAGAAUAAAGACAAAGCAGGAACUUACUGGUUUAUUGAUAUGUAAGUUGCCAAAUCUUUUGAGAUAGCAUAUAACUGUCCUGUAGCAUGUCGAAAAUACUUGUUUCCCACCUCACCAAAUUUCCAAUACUCUGGCUCAUGAUAUUUCACUCCCCUAUUCCACAAUAAAAAUACCAUGAAAACCAUGCUCACCAAUAUCUAAAUACAUCCAACUGAAAAAUAAUAGACCACUCUGCUUACUUUCGAGCAAGGACUGGACCUGACUUCAUGCAACCAAUAUAGACUCGGGGUUUCAAACGAUGUUUAGAUAGAAUCAUUCCAAGUGUUGCUGUGGUAAAUGAAACGCAAAUUAAACCAACAGGUUGAAAAAGGGGUAAAUUGAAACGUUGAGCUAUAAUGUUAGUAAUGCUGUCAAACAAAUAUAUGGUCUAAUGCAAGCCUGAGCAACUUUUGAGAAAUGAGCCGAUGUGGGCAAAAGCUUAAAUUUAUGUUACCUAAAUUUACAUGGACAUCAUCAUCAACUUUGACAUAAAAUUCAGCAUCCCACAAAGCAACAGCUGUUGAAAAAUAGGUCUUUGUCUUGGCUGAUAAUUCCAGGUAGCCCUCAACAUGGUUCUGCAUAUGUAGUAUGUAUAUGUAUUAGAAACUGCAACGGCCUGCUAGAUAUAAGAAUAAUUCCACUGUAGCAAAACCAAGAAAAAUAAUAUUUCUGACUAAAAUGAACAAAAAAAUCACCAGCCUCAACAAGUCUCCAUUGACUUGCUCCUCCGCUUCAAUAGCUUUAUCAAGAAUACCACCAGCUGUCGAACUAGUAACAACAGCAAAAUCAAUAUAUGUCCAUAUUUUAGAAAUUCAUCAAUUACGCCACUGAUGCAGGAUUGAAGUAGGCAUGGCAAAACCUCACCUGUGACCUAUAACAAACCGUAUGACUAUGCCCUUCUCUUCUUCCAGCUUCUUUCUUUCCUUGCCUAGUAAAUAUUUUUCAACUAGAAACCAUUAAUCAUAACUCGAAUAAGGAACUCAAGUAGCACAUUAACAUCACAAUUAAAUUAAACCUAAACGCAUAAUGCACCUUGUGGCAUCCAAGUUGCACGUACGGAAUCUCUUCUUUUUCGGCUAUUAAAAGCUGUAUUGAUCCCUAUAACCAUGAAGUACUUUUUUUUCGAAUUUGAUUGAAGAGUCUUCAAGUUUCCUGAUAUAGGAGAGCCAUUAUGUACAGAUUCAUGCAUUGCCCUGGAAGCGGCUAAUUUCAUCUCCAAAUUUGAAAUUGUUUUAUUUAGCUCCCUGCAUGCAUGGAUAGUAAUAAGCUUGCAUUUUGGUGCCUCAAAGACACUAGAGCAUUUCUUAUAAGUAGCAUCAGCAUAGCUUACUGAAUGACAUGAUUAGUAGCUUCCCCUGGACUAUCAUUAGACGUGUGCUUUAUAACCUUCAAAGAUAGGCAGAAAGUUGGAGAAAAUAUUUACCAAAAAUUAAAAAAAUCAGUGACAAAGGAUUAAUUAAAAGUUAAUGGAAUACUUAAAUGGCAAAGUGAAACUAAAAAUAUCAGUAUGAAAGAAAGGAGUAAAUAAAAUAAAUCUCUCCCAAAGUUCAGUGAAACUAUAGAAACCUCCCUUCUAUAUUGAGAAAUUAUAUCCCUCCUAAUAUAUUUCUCAAAAACAUGAUCCGUGAUGUAGUGAGACUAAAAAGAUUUCCUUUUGCAAGUACUCUAGACCAGAAUUCUUUAUCCGCAUGGUAUGAUUAAUGGCAUUGUUCUUUGAAGUUUUCGAUUCGUGACCAAAGAAUUUGUUCAGCUAUCAAAACCCGACCUUACUUUCGAAAGCUAUUCGUUAUGCAACUGAAGACUUGAAGACCGGAGAAUAAAUACACUUACAAGCUUCUGAUUACAACCAUCAGGUUCUGAAUAUAUCCUUUCAGCUCCAAUUCUAGAUGGCCUUGAUUCAGGCACCAUCGACAACCUGAUAAAAAAAAAUUCUUGACUAUUAUGACAAGCAUAUACUAAAUCACUAAUUUCAGUUGUGAUAUCACACAUAUAAUUGACUCAAGCAUAAGUAGCACUUAGACCAAACUCCAAACUAAACUAGAAAGAAAAAGAAAAGAACUCAAAUUUCUGAAAAUACAAUUAGUGAUCCCCAUUUCAAGGACAUAGAAUAAUCACCUAAGCAGCCAUCAUUAGCCACUGAAAUACAUAGAAUUUAAAACAGUUUCCUCAAGAUUCUUCCACAAAAGCGAAUUAAUUCCGGGACUUCAAACAUUUGGCCACAAUGCAUAAUGUACUUGAAACAAGCUCUACAGUUAAAUAGAAAUGGCAAAUUUAGAGCAAGGGAUAGAAACCCACCAAAGAAAAUUACCUGUUAGUAAAUAACACUCCAGCACAGAAGCUGCAGAAGCAUAGCAGAAAAGCCCAGUUCCUUGACAUCACAUUCCUCAUUGUUACCUCUCCUCCCCAUCCUUUGCUCUUCGAAGACAUUUCGUUCCAGCACUGCUUUUGCUACACACAAAGAAAUAUUUAUAAUAUAAAAAAUAAAAGAACAAGUAUUUGAAAUAGAAUCCAAUUGAAAAACCCAGAAAAGAAAGAAAAGAAAAAAGAGUUCUUUGGAGUCUGGAAGACAAAGGACACCUUCUUGAUGAGUCAGUGCUUGACACACACUCUCGCUCUCUCUUACAGAGACCAGAGAGGUGCACUGAGGAAGACCCACUAACUGCCCUCUCUUAUAUUCUAAAUUACUGAACCGUCCCUCCCUUUGGCAAAAACGCUUCUCACCAUAACAACAACAGUAACAGCUUCAUUUUCUCAUGCGGGCUGAAGUCUGUUGAAAUGGCACGUUGUCUCAACGCAUAAAAUUUAGAAUGAGGAAACCCGUUUAAUAUACAACUGUUGAUUAUUAUUGUCGGUGCCGUUUAUUCAGUUUUUCAAUAUUAAGGCUGUUUCGUUUUGAGUCAAGUAAGGAAACACAUGUAACUGAUAAUCGUUUUUUAGCUUUUCUUUUAGUAUGAUUUAUUUAUUUAUUUCUUUAAUUUGGAAUUUAAUUGAAUUUGCAAGAGAAAAGAGAUCCAAUGGCCCAUUGAUGCAUAUUGAAGACUUGGGGUCCAAUAUGCCCCCUUGAUCCUAAACACAGCCCAACAUGAAAAAAUAGCAAGCAAGAUGUUGUAAAAAUAAAAAAUAAAAAAAUAAAAAGUGAAAAUCCAAAAGUGGCCUUGUUGUUUUUGUAUUUUAUUAGGGUCAAAAAGACAUUAUUUAUUUACCCUUAUCACGAAUUAUGGGAGACAAAAUAAGAGGUGGCUGGUCGAUGUAUGCAACAUUUAAAUGAUGUUCAUAAAGAUGUGUUAGGUUAUAGGGGGGGUGUGUGUGACGUGUCGGUAAAAGGGGAAUAGCCAGUAAUUUAUUUUAUUUUCAGACACUUUAUUAUUAUUAUUAUUAUUUUUUGUCUGAAUUUUCCACAGAAACUAGAAUCUGUUCAAGAGGGUGGAGCAAGGCGAUUCUAUUCUUGAAUUUCGUACAUUAUUGGUGGCACCUUAUUCGAAUAAAAAAGAAUAUUGAUCAUACAAGAUUAAAGGUUAAACGAGAUAGUUUUACAUAGAUUAAGUUGAUGACCUGAGUUGUGUCAAUUAGGCAUGCUAGACAUUCUCUAGUUAACGGGUUUAACCGUUAUUUUGUUCUCACAUUUAUCAUGAACAAAGGCUUAAGGUAAACUUAUAAUAAAUUUCAAUUAAUCCUUAAUUAAAACAUGACUCAAACACCCUUUUUAAUUUCAUGUGGCUCUUUAAUUACUCAAGUCUUGGAGAGCAAAUUCUUCUAGACCACAACCACAUUGGCAAUGGCAAUGGCAAUGGCGUGUUAAACUUAAGCAAAUGGGUUCAGAACUUGUCUAUUUCAUGAUGUAAUAUGUUUAGCAUUCAUUUACUAGUUAAAUAAUUAAACAAAUGUUCUGCCAAAACUAAAGAAAAAUAAUAAUGCAUGAGGAAGAAGAGGACAAGAAGUGCAAAACUAGAAUGAAAAGCUCUUCGGCUAAUUCAAGUCACCGGAUAAGUUUUAUCCGUGUUCGUCAUGAUGCUACUUGGAUCUCUCUCUUUGUACUUUUUCAUUUGAUCUAAUAUUCUAUUAUGACUUGUUCUAAACAAGAACGAAAAGCUUUACUACAUUAAAAUAAUGCUAAAUUUUAACGAAGCAAGCAGCUGAAAGUAGAUAGGGUGCAUGAAGAUUUACCAACUCCUUUGCAAAUACCCAUCAUUCACCUAAAUUAAACACCAAAUGUUACUUGGCUUGGCUACCAUACAAAAUCUCAGAGGCUGCCAAUGGUUUUUCAACUUUUUCCAUCUUCUUUUUUUACUGGAAAAAAUCACACCAUUAAAAGGGCACCUCUGUUUUCUUUUAGCUAGGGACUUUCUAUGUGAAAGUUUCAGUGGACCCCCAGCCAGCACACUACAUACUAUAUUUGCUAAGAAGAAUUAAACAAAGCAAAAUGAAAAAAGAUUACAUGGGACCCUCAUGGCUAACAAUGAUUUUGAUGGUAAAUUGAAAUUGAAAUAGAAUAAUGGUGGACUGAUGAGAUGAAGGCAAUUAAUUACUCUAAGAAACCAGUUUUUGUCAAAAUAGCAUUUCUUACUUUGCUGAGGUCUCUUCCUUUGAGUGUUCUUCCAAUCCCUUCACACACAGAGAAAGAUGAAAUCUGGCUUCUUGCUAGCUUUCUAGCUACCCAUUCAUGUGGAGGGACCAUACCAUCAUCAUCAUCACCAUCACCAUCAUUAUUCACAUCAUCAUCAUCAUCACUGACACCAUGAUCAUGAUGAUGCCCCCCAUCCUCAUAAGCAACAUGACCACCAUUGACACCAUACCCAUCAUCAUCAUCAUGAACCCAAGAACCAAUCUUGGCACUCUUGCCAUAAAUUUUUGACCAAUCAGGGAUGUUCUGAGGAGCUGAUUUUUGGACCACCUUGGGUUCGUGGGAGGUUGGAGUAUUAGCAGCAGCAGCCCUUGGGAUAAUUCUUGGAGCAGUAGGGAGGCGCCAUGCAGAGGAAGAAGCAGAGGAGCUGUCCUUGUUAGACUUCCUCAUCAUCUUGGGACUUGAAUUUUCGCUCUCAUUAUUCCCAACACCCCACACAUCUUCUUCUUCAAAAUCUUCAUUGUUUCUCAUUGACCCCCCACCAAAGCCACUGCUUUUGCUCAUCAUACCCCUCCAAUCUGCCAUUGGGAGUUGCUCUGAAGCAUAAAAAAGUUGAAGUGCUUUGAGCAAAAAGCCAACCACACCACAGAGAAAAAGAGACUCAGAGCAAAAAUAGACCUCUGCUUUGAGUAUAAAUAAGAGGAGAAUAAUUUACAUUUGGUUGGUAAUGAGAUAAAAUUUUAUUUAUUUUUCUAGGGAAGCAAAAAGCAGAAAGGUGCAAUAGAGAAUAAUAUCAGGAAUCUACCUUCAAAAGGAAACAAGGGGUUUUGGAAGAUUUCUGAGGGUAUUGAAAUGUUCACAGCAUCAAAAACCAACCAGGAGAGAGGAGAAGCUUGUGACUGUGAGAGCACUUUCCCCUGGCCCUGGCCUGUUGAAUCCCUCCAAAAAAGAUCACAAAUUUCAAUGAGCCAGCAGCACACUGCAGGAUACAUACAGAUUACAGAGGAAGAAAAAGACAACAAAAACGAUAUAUGAAAGAAAUAAGUUUUUACUUUUAUGGGAUAGCUUAGCUGCUCUACUAUCAGGUACUGCUACAGAAAAGAAAAGGCAAAAGAAAAUGAUGAUGAGAAUCUCAGUUCCCUUCCCGGACUACUUUCUUACUUACCUGAAAAUGGUCAGUGUGUGUGAGGUUGUGUGAGGUUGGUUUAUCAGAAAACACCAAAAGGCACACAGAAAGGAGCAACCAGAACUAGAAAAAGAUAGAAAUUUUGGGUCAAAAUAGGAACAUAGAAGGUGUAUUGAGCAAACCCAGAAACCAGCUUGUCAUGAUCAGGGCAUUUUUACCAUCUAUGGGAAAAGAGUCAGUAGUGAGAGACUUCUUGAUAUGAGGUUAUAUAUAUAUAUAUGCAAAUAUAUAUUGUUGUUGUUGAUGUUGGUGUGUGCAUUUUUUAAUGCAUGAUGGGAAAAUUAUAGAUUAUAUAUAUAUAAUAAUAUAUUAUUUAGAGCUUCUGAAAAGCCUGGGUGUUGAUUGGGAAAGGUGGAGAAGAAGGAUUGGUCCGUCUGAAACCAAUAACCUCACUGAUUUCCGUAACCUUAUCCUCAACUUACUCACUAGAACAACUCAGCUCAUCAUCCGGCGUUACAACAGAGGAAAAGCUCGAAAGUGUGAAGCAACUUUUUUAAGGAUGCAUAGGAUGGGGUGCUUAACAAGUAAAAGCACUUAAAAGCACUUGGUUGACUGCGACUCUACUUUUCUAUAUCUCUCACUUCUUACUUCUUUCUUCAAUGCUUCCUGGGUUUUUGGGGAUUAUUGCAAAGAGAGAAAGAGAGAGUAAGAAAGUGAAUUUGGGAGCAAACAAAGGCACUGUGGUUGCCAAGGUGAAGCGUCUUCUCAAACUCAAAUCAGUAAGAUCUGUUGGACAAUGACCAAAGGGAAGUGUGUGGGUCAAUUGCCUCCUCUUUUGUCUCUCUCUCUCUCUCUCUCUCUCUCUCUCUCUCUCUCUCUCUCUCUCUCAUCAAUUCCAUCAUGGUUUCAUUUCAUGCUUAGAGUUGCAAUCACAUCCUUCAUAUGUGUACAUCUGACUUUGCAACUUUACCCCUCGUCACAGGCCUCAUCAUGUUUCAAUGCAGUCACUAGUAUACAGAGAGGUAUCUUUGGUUGCUGAUCAGGGGUCACCACAAACAACAAACAAACUUUGUGGCUCUUGAUGCUUCGCAAUUUUGCCAAGCUACCCAAAAAGUAAAACUUAAUGGGGGUAAAAAGCUAAAAAGUUGCUACUAACUUUCACAGGUCUUGUUAUUUCUCACCAAUUUCAAAAGUUAUUGCAUGCUCGUGUGAUUCAGCUACUUCUCAUAUACGACCAACAAAAAAAAAGAUGCUUCUCAUAUGAGCUAGGCUUCUUGGCCAUUGCAAAUCAUUACUCUGCUAGCAAGUUUACCAAAAAUGAAUCCUUUUUAUUUUUUUUCAUGGUAUAUAGUAUAUGACAGUUCAAUACAAGUUUUUUGAGCAGAGGAAAGGUAUGGAAAGUCGUCAUGUGUGAUCGUCAGUGGACGGUAGCCCACAAUAGGAUCCACACUCUUCGACGAUUGAUAGUCACCCGCGUAUGCCAUGUCUUGUAUGAGAUCAUAUCCCUAGCAAAACUUUUUUAUCCCAUUACUUCUUUUGUUACUUUCUUGCUCAAGUUUGUUGAGAAAGGCGUCAUUAACUUUGUCUCAACUGAAAAUGAUUCUUUCUUUUGAGCUGGAAAAUGAUUCCAUUAUAAAAUGUUGGAAAGUAUUUUAUAAACCUGUUCAAGAGCCUCCUUACACAAACAAGUAUAAUUAUAAUGAGACGCGGUGGUUGGUGGCUCUUAACGUUUCAUUAGUGUAAUCGAACUAAUGAGCUUUUCUUUCAUCCGAAGUCAAAGUUUUCUUGAUUCUUUCCUACAAUUGUAAAGCUAUAAUUCAUGUUCCUGAAUGAUAACACAAGCAAUUAACAUAUUGUAAGUAAGCUUUUGGUCCAUUGAAUGGCCUAGGAUAUAUAGAUAGAUUACGUACGUUGGAAUAAAGGUCACGUGCAAAUUACAAUGCAUGGCAGUAUAACUAGUGGCGCAAGAGCUGAGCUCAAGUCAGAUUUUGCUUUUGGUCACUAGGAGUACAAUUCCAAGAGUACAAUCAUAUACAUGGAAUCCUAGUAAGAGGCAUUUAGUGGAGAAAAAUCGACUUUUAUCGAAGCUUUUCAAUGAUUGAAGAAAGAAUGCAACUUCUACCAUCCAAAGAGGAUCUGCUUGAUUUGAAAGCACUUGUACGAUAAGCACGCUCAUACCUGUUUUAUUCCCCCUCUCUUUCCCUUUGAGGAGAUAAAGUUAGGGUCUUGGAGCCAAGUUGAAAUUAAAGCAACCACUGAAUAUAUUUAUAAAGUCAUUUAUAGUGAGGGCUUUAUCAAAGACCCUUUAGAUGAGGCCCUAUCUCUUAACCGUUGAAUUAAAUUAACUACGAACAAAUUUAAUCCUAUAAUCAAGAGAUUGGGUCUCAUCUAAGAGCUUUAGAUUAUACCCUCGCUAUAGAAUUCUACGUAUUUUAUAUACAGUCAAGUCAUAAGACCAUCAUUUUAACAAGGCUCUCGUUUGCUUCAAGGCUUGAACUGUGAAGAUCCACUCACUUGCAGGUUUUUCCCCGAAUUUCAAGUUUUGAAGAAAUUAAAAUAAUGAGAUGCGAAAGCUUUGGGAUACACUUGCACCUAGCGUCUUUCAGAUUAGUUAGAAAAUAUUUUUCAAAAGUACGCAAUAAAAUUACAUCGCAGUUCUCUUUUUGGUCUUCGAUAUAUAAGGACAUGAAGAAAUUCAAACUUAAAGAUCUUUGUAUUCUGAACUUUCUCUUUACUCUCACAAUCACCUUCUAUGGUACAUUGAACUAAUUAUAAUCAACAAAUUAUUGCUCAGUACAAAGGAUACGCUAAAACGCUACAAAGCUAACCUAUUAACAUAUGGAACAGAAAAAUGGAUGAACCAUUUUUAGCUCCACAACUGGUGUCAACUUUGCAUUAUUUCACUUGGGUGAACUAUAUGCAGCUAGUUAAGCUAUUGAAUGAGAAAAAUGAUGGAAAACUAUCACUGAACCUGUACAAAACCAUCUCUGAGUAUCUGAUAUCUUAUAUUCACUUCCGUGCUGCGUGAUAAAGCUCCAUGUAGUCGAGAGCUGGCUUGUUCCAAGACCAAUCUUGCUCCAUCACUGUCUUGCACAACGAGUUGAACCAAUCCCGACCAUCAUACCAAGCAGAGAUAGCCCUGAAAACAUCGUUUAUGAGUACUACACAAAGAAACAAACUGAACAAAUUUAUUGUCCAUAAAGGAACAGGGACAUUCUUGAAACUUUUGUUAAAAGAAAACACUACGUUUUCCCAGUCAUCAGCUAAAUAUAAAUUUACACACCUAUUCAGAGCAUAAUCGACACCAGCGGCGUCAGGUCCAUCAAAGCUGAAUCCAUUUGGUUCAACACCCUGGGCAUCUGCUCUCUCUUUGUCAUGGUCAACAUCAAAUACAGUAUCGUAAAGUCCUACCAAGAAAUAACAUUAAAAUGGAAAGUCAAAUUUAAUAUCGAAGUAUGUUAAGAUAUUUUUUAUAUCACCGUGGUGUCUAGUGGCGAGCUAGAAGCUUUCCUUUGGAGAGCCAAUAACGUAGUGACAAGGUUACUUCGGAGCAUAUAUCAAUUGCAAAAUACAGUACAUACACUAUUAAAGCACACUCCUCAUCAAAGACUGGUAAGGUACGUACACACCUCCAGUUUUACGAACAACAGGUAUAGAACCGUAUCUCAUUGCUAUGAGUUGUGUCAGUCCGCAUGGCUCAAAAAUUGAAGGAACUAAGAUGAAAUCAGCACCAGCGUAUAUCUAUAACAAAAUUCAAUUAGUCUGUUAUUAUGGCAGUGAAGAUGUAAGAGGUCAAUGACUCAGUAUAAAUAGAAAAAAAUAAGUAAAACAGAAUAUAACUUUCACAAGAACAAACCAAAUGUGAGAGUGGCUCAUCAUAAGUCAAACAAAGGCGUGCACGGUCACCAUAAGAAGAAUGUAAUUGAUUUGCCAAAUUUACAAAAUCAUUUUGGAUCCGAGGAUCUGGAGCUGAACCAAGCAAUACAACCUGCAAAUCAGUAAGUUCCGUUUUAAUUUAGAAUUUGCUUUCCUACACUAGGAAAUGAGAAGGGAGGAUUGUCUUACUAGGAGAACAUCCAGUGGAAUUAAAGAACAAUGUUUGUGCAAUAUGAGGAUUCAAAGUAUAAUAAUUCACUCACAAAAAGAGAGGACACCCAUGAAGAACAGUGUUUGUGUUAAUAUUCACUCACAAAAAGUGGGAGAGAGAUGAAAGUAACCUGUCCAUUGCGUUCCAAGGUACGCCAAAUGGCAUGCUUGAUGAGAUGGAUUCCUUUUUGGUGAGUUAAGCGAGUAAUAAUACCUACUACAGGGAGAUCGGCUGUUUUCAGACCAAGCCUUUGUUGCAAGGCUUCCUUGGCAGCUUGUUUGCCUUCAACAACAUUUUCAGAAGUAUACGAUAUCUGGAAUGAUAUGCAUUCUACACGUUAGACACAAUUGUAUUCAGAGUAGUAGGGAUCAAAAGUUACAAACAUAGUUGUGGCUAACUUAAAAUCAAGCACAGAGAUUAGCAUAGUUCCAUCUUGAGCCUCCAAAGAGACAUUCAAGGGUACCCAACUAGUUAAUUUAUGAUUCCACAAUGCUUAGCAACAUAACCCAAGUUGGUGAUACAAACUAUUAUUCUUUUGUUUACCCGUAUCAUGACCCUGGUAUAACCAGCAUCCUAAUAUAUAGCCCAAGUACCAAACACAGAGAAUUCGGCAAACAGCUUAAUACUUAUUCCAAGAAAUAUAUAUAAAAAAUCCUUAAUAAAAGUUUACAAUGGUUAAAUGCGAAUAGAACAAAGAAAGUAUUAUUUACUUACAGGAAUGAAUUUAUCAUUGUAUGGAUCCCAGAUAUCUUGAUCAAUUCCAUUUAUUAUACCAUGGAACUUGUAGAGAUGUGGAGCAAUUGCAGGAUUUCCAGCAACCUCCUUAGCAUAACUGUCGGAUACCUGUUGAUUAAAGAUGAAGGACUCAAUUGAUAUUACAGUAAUUUUCAGGAAAUGAAACAGCAACCAUCAUGCGUAAAGGAUUGGAUUGUUGAUAUCACACUUCAAUCAAUUUAACAAUUGACAGAACAGAAGAGCAUAGAAAGGUGAUUCCAGGGCCUACUAAAAGGGAAAAUGUUCGAAUUCCAAUAAUUGGCAUUGAUAGGUCUGCUCCUAUUAUUCACAAAGGCAAAGUAUCCUAAAAUAAAAUAAAUAUGGAUAAAAUGAGAGUUUUAGGAAAUUUUUAAGGACUUACAGUUGUGGCCUUGUCUGAGUAUCCCACAGCUUUUCCAAUAAAGUGCGCUCCAAACUCAAGGUUAUGAAUUGUGAAGACAACCCGAGCUUUACUAAGACCAUAAUGCAUGUAAUGAUCUUUAUAUAACCAGGCAACAGGUGCGCUAGACCAAUCAUGGCAGUGAAUGAUAUCCUGCCAUCAGAAGCAACAGUUUCAAAUAGCUACCCUCAGUAGCUAUCCUCAGAUUCACACACACACACACACACACACAAACCAGUACAAUGCCAAAAGAGCCAUAUAUUAGCCAAAAUAUGAUUUGACUGUUCCAUAUACAUAACUUCCUCUUGUGUAAUUGACCUUAAUCUACUUUUUUUUUCAUAGGCAGUUUUCUUUUAUCACCAUUUGCACAUGUCUAGAUAUAUUAUAAAAGUAGGCAGAAGAACCAACUUCCACUACUAGUAGGAUUAAUUGAAUUUCUCAUAGUAUAUAUAAACUGCAUGAGUCAAGCACUGAACUUACAGGAUGAAAUCCACUUUGGAGUAAAAAUUCUAGAGCAGCAUGGCAAAAGAAACCAAAUCUCUCUGCAUCAUUCUUACAACCAUAUAUGCAACCUGUAUAAAAGAAUCUGCAAAGAGGAAAGGAAAAAGAAAUUCUUGUAAAGAACAGGUUGCUGGAUCCAGCACCACGGCGGUAUUAUUUGCAAGAUAAUCAACUGUGAACAUCCCGGAAAUGAAAUUGAAAUACAUAUUGACCAUUAAAACAGAAAAUAAAAGGCAGUGAACUUGAUAGAAGUAAAGGUGAAAACACAUAUGACGGUUUGUGACUUUGAAGGAUGCGGAAGAGGACGUGUACCUAUUUUGAGGCUCCAAAAAGUAGACUGGAACACCUUCCACUUUACCAAACCAAACUUUUAUUUCAGUUCCGCCCCAAGAAUAGCUUCUGUUGUACUGGAAUCCCUUCACCUGUAUCAGAGAUUCAGAACACAGCCAUUUAGUAACUUAGAAACAAAAUUCAUCCCCAAACUAAGGUUGAAGAAGAACAAGUGAAAAAACAGCACAAUCUAAGAACUCAGCAAUAAGUGUCAAAAGAUAUACUUACAAAUGGGGUUCAACAAUGCUCUGAGAGUGCCAUAAAGCCAAAAAGAAAAAAAAAAGUUGCAAAAUCUAUGUAAAAUAAAAUAAAAUAAAAAAAACCAAGAACAUGAAAUCAUUUUUCAAAACAUUUUUCACAAGAAUCCAAGAGGCACCCCAUAUUUCAAAAAUUCCAUGAAAUGGACCUCCAAGAAGGGCAGGCCUGGCCAAUGCCCACAAAAGGCCCUAUAGUGAGCAUUCUAAAAAUGCAAAAGAAAAGAAAGAAUGCAAGCGCUCCAUGACAGGAAGAAAGAAAAAGGUAAAAAAGCAGAUGAGGUAAGAAAAAAAACAGAAACGAAACUUACAUUGCUAAGGUUCAAACAGUCGUACUUAGGAAGAAUAAUGUCAACAUGGUGAUUUAAGUCUUGCACAGCUCGGGAUAGACUAGUAACCACGUCACCAAGCCCUCCAACCUAGAAUAGAUGUUGUAAAUAAUGGAGGGGAUAAAAAAGAAAUAAACAACAUCAGUAGGGUCCUUAUAUGCAAGAAAGUACAUACUAGAUACUGAUAAUGCAUCAGUUCACAUGGAUAUUACAAUUCAUGGUGGCCAUGAACAAAAAAUUUCAUCCAUUGAGAUUAAAAGGAUUAGAAGGGAACUAAAACAAUUAAAAAAUAAUAGAUAUUAGGAAACUAAUUCUGCACAGAGUGGACAGUCAAGUAUCAUAGUAGUAACACAGUAAGCUGUUGUGCUGCCAGAAAGUGAAGAGUAAGAUAACUCAAAAUGACAGCCUAAUUUGAAAGUAUUAAGAAAAUUGAAACUAAUGUGAAACAUCUAUUGACAGUUAAAUACACUGAAGGUAUAGAAGUGUUUCAUCCAACAUUGCAUUAAGUUAGUUGCUAAACUUGCCUUUGCAAUGGGAGCCAUUUCAACAGAAAUAUGCACAAUGUGCAUUGGUGACUCCUUCAAAACUCCUCCAAACACCGGAAUGUGGUAAUCCAUACCAUUUUUGUUGUCAAAGAGUCCAUCAUCAUCUUUCUUCUCAGAGAAAACAAAGUCCAUCACGUAUGCAUCGAGCGGAACUUUAACUGUAGAGACAUCAACAAAUAGUUUAACUGAUAAAGUAAAGUUAACUUCGUAGCCUCACAUUGAGAUGCUUAGACAUUAAAAUGGUUGCAAAAGGGUCAAAAUAAGCAUAAACCAAUAUGCCAAAUGAGCUAGCUUCUUUUCAUUCUUUAUAUGUUGACAUUCCUUGUGGUUAUGUCACUUGCCUGUGCAUAGGAUCCAUUUUAUAGUAAGACAUUCAUUUAAAUAAGACACUUCUUAAAAACUCCUUAAUCUUAAGGAAACGUUAGCAUAAAGCAGGGGAAAAAAAUUACCCAAAAAAAGAUUUCGGUGGAUGUAUUAUUAUAAAUCAAACAGAACUGAAGUGAAUUAUAACUUGAAUGGUUUAUGGGCAUAUAUGUAUAUAUCGACCGGGGAAGGGGACGUAAAAGGAAACAAGAGAUUAUUUAACCACUUGCACUGAAAAGAUAGACUAUAUAAACAUCAAAUUGUUCUUAUGAGAAGUAUCUAUAAACUCAAACUCACCAGUUGUCUUGACAUGAGAACCAGUCUCUGCAGGUAACAUCUUCUGUGGUGGCAAUGGACCCUUGCGAUGGGUCCAACGGUUAAAAGAGCCUCUGAACCAAACCUCAGGCUUUCCAUUCAGAACUGUACUGGCAGGAUUGUAGAAGACCGUUGCCAUGCUUCCAGCUUGAACAUCAAGAGGCUCAGUGUACACUAUAUGCUUCUGAGACAGCAAAAACCUUUUCAAAGUUCUUUCCUUCAUUUCUGCUUUCAUACGUGCUGUUCUUUCGGCCUGCGACAAGAGAAGAGAAAUGGAAUCGGGAAGUAAUAUGCCAUAAGAUAUAUUUGAGAAGUUGAAUCCCAAAGUUGGCAAGAUAAAGAUAAUAAAAUCUGAACAAAUAAACAUAGAGAGAGAGAGAGAGAGAGAGAGACAGAGACAGAGACAGAGAGAGAGAGAGAGGAAAUCUCAAGUACCGAUUGGCAACAUUUUAAGGAUAGUCCAGAAAAUCCACACUUUGCAUAAAAGAACAAACACUAGAGGGACCCACCAGUCAAAACCUAAGAAGGUGGUCUGAGUCUCACAUCAUGCAGGGCUCAAUCUGAUUGUUCUAGAUGUAAUUUUCAGUAAAACUCACCUUGGCACGUAUUGCCUCCUCCCUUAAUCUCCUCUCCUCCUGGAGCUUCCUAUAUAUCUUGUGUUCUUCCUCAACCCAAUAUAGUUCCUCAGGAAUGGACUUUGGAACUAUAGAAUGGAAAUCAUGGCGGUGGUUGUUAUCAUAUAGAACAGCAUUUUGAGGUGGUCCAUCGGCAAAAACCCAAUCCAAGACAACAGCUUGAUCAGGUACAACAACUACAAGAAAUAAAGUUGACCACAAGGAUGUUGUUUAUAACAUGCUAUACCAGCACCAAACAGAAAAUUACAGAUUAAAGGAAAUAGAACUACGGAAAAGAGAAAGCCAUCUCCAACAAUUUACAACCUUUUAUAUACGUUAAAGGAAGAAAAGGACAAGAAUAUAAAAGAACACAUACCAUUGGCAUACCACCAGUCACCAUCCUUUUCCUCAGAGCUAACUAGCCUCUCAACAAUAGAUAAUCCAUCCUUCCAAUUAUUAUGCCCCCCAUGAAUCCAUAUUUCCUUAGCAUGAGCAAGAGGACCUGAGCUUCGGUUAUAGUAUAACUUCACCAAGUCCUCACCUUUAAACUCACUAGGCUCUAUGUACCAAACAUUCUCUACAGACCUUACACCCUUCUUGAUCAACUCUUGCACCAUUUUUCGUCUCCUUUCGAUCUCUGCUCUUGCCUCUGCUCUGUCAGCUUCACUUGCUGCCUUCUCUGCUUCAAUUUGCCUCUGCUCUUCCGCUUGCCUUUCCCUCUCAGCUUGCUCCUUUGCAAGUUUCUCCAGUUCUUUGCGCUUCUCAUCAAGCAAGAAAUCUUCAAAUGCAAAGAGGUCCAUUCCACCUUCCACGGCUAUGCAGAAAUCUUUCUCAUCAUUAUUGUCAUAAAUAUUUUGACCAUUGAAGAACACAAAGUCUAUCUUAUAUGAUUCUUUAGGAACAUGAAACUGGCAAGACCACCAAUCCCCUUUGAGUUGUGUUUUGUUCAACCUGAAGGUAAAAGAUUUCCACCGCCAGUCAUUAAAGGCUCCCAUUAUGAGAAUCUCUGGCUCAUUGCUUAGGGUGGAUAGACUUCUAUUAAGAAAAAUAUCUAUAUCUUGAUCAGGUUUCACCACCUGAGGAUAGACAAAGAUUUUGUUCCCUCUUAAGAAGUUCUCCUCAGCAAGCCUCACAAUCUCCUCUUUACGCAAUUUUUCUUCCAUUUCCAACUUUGAUUUUAAAGAAGCUUCAUCGGUUAACUUUUUAUCAGUAUCAGUGCCUUUGUCAUCCACAGAGUCAUCCAUCUUUCUUCUAGCCAAACUCUGUUUGUCAGAAAGUAUUGCUUCUGCCACAUUCUCAUCACCACCCUCGGAAGCUGUUCCUUUUGGCUGUAUCUCUGCCAAGUCCUCAAGGACCUUAUCUACACUCCCAUUUUCUAUCCCUUGAAUACCUCUAGCAAUAUCUGACGGUUUGCUAAUUGAAGAUGAUCCCUCAACUUUAAUACUAGUUUCACCAAUUCUUUUUUCCUCAACAUCAUCCUCUUGUGAAGGUUCAACUGCCCAUUCUCCUUUGGUAUCAACUCUCAAUUCAAUUGUUUUCUUGUUGGGCCCAGCAAGUUCACUGGAUUUUGAAGAUAUAGAACCCUUUUUAUCCCCAUUACUCUUUUGAUUCGUCUUCUGGACGCUAGUUCCUACUGGAAUUUUUGGCACUAAUCCCUUGGGACCAGGGCUGUUAGUAGGAGUGGUCACUUUUCUCUGUCUCCUCCUUGAAGAAUCUACCAAGUUACAGAGUCGGAUUAAGCUAAAAACAACAAAGACAAAUUAAGGAAGGUCAAGUAAUCCACUUCAAAACUAAAAUAAAACGAUGAGAUAACUCACCAGCUGAACUGGCAGUAAUUUGGUAUGAAACCCCACUUGCCAGGUCUCCUUUGAACCAUGAAGAAUACUGAAAUCAAACGUAUAAAUAAGAGAGGUUCAGUUUAAGAUGCAGCAGUCACUAAAAUGGCCAUAGUUAAGUGAUUUUAUUCAGAAAAACUGAUUGGAAAAGUAAAAGCCAUCAUUACUCAAAAAAGAAAAUUAUUACAAUUCAAUCCUAUCCUGCAGUAAAAUCAACUGAACAGUGAGUACCCGCCAAGAAAAAAGGACAUGAAUUUCAUCAAUAAAGCUUACACUUUUCCAGAAAAUCUCCUAUCAAUAACGCCACCACAAAAAGACCCAGGAAAAGUAUCGAUGAACAAAUAUUUAAAUAGUUGUCGCUAGAAAGGAAAAUACCAAAUUACAAAACUAGACCGCAAAGAUCAAAGAAACCCACAAUCGUGCUCUCUACAGAAACACAUACUCUUACAUGGGUGUGAUCAAUACCAAAAAACUCAAGGAAACGGAGAAAUUUCAGAACAAGAAGAAGAAAAUGCACACCAGAAACUAUACAUAUAUGCCAAUGAUAAACGAAGCUGAUUACUCGUAAGAAAUUACUUAACUCUUCCAUGAGGAGAAAACCCAGUAAAUGGUUUGAGCUUCAAAUUGGUUCCUCUCUCUUGGAAGACCGUUCGCCAGCCGAGUGGCCUCUGUGCUUGCAGAGACAUUAUAAGAAUGUUUGUUCUGCUGCUUUGACACAAAAUAUAAUCCGCAGUGAUCAGCAAGCCAUUUCUCGAAGGCUCCAACACUGAACUUAUCAAACAAUUAAAUAAUAAUAAAUAUCAAAUAUCUUGAUUUAUAUAUAAUAAAAAACCAAAACGAAGGAAGAAAAUUAAUAAUAAUAAAAAGUGUUGAAAUGCUGUGGUUUCGGCUAGCAGAGAAGAAGCCUGCACUCUCAGCCACGUGUGUGUAAUUUUUCAUAAUGCACAUUAUUAAUUUGUAUUUUAAAUCGGGACCGUUGAUUUGCAUUGGUCUUUGCGUUCAUUGGUGGGUUUGUGUGUGACGUGGCAGAAUUUUUGAAUUUUCCAAGAUUUUCGAAAGGGAUUUUUGUUUUUUUCUAGAAAAGAGAUUUUUAAUGGGUAGGCUUUUGGGAGGCUAUUAGCAUGUGAUACAGGCUACCCCAUCAGAAUUGAUGGAAUCAAUCAGGAAUUGCCACGUUAAACGCCAACAGGCACGUGACAACAAACUUUCCUAGGUUUUUUUGGUUAUUCCUAGGAAGGAGGAGAAAGCAUUAUAAAAUAAUUUAAUUACUAUAUAUAUAUAUAUAUAUAUAUAUUUUUUUUUUUUUGGGUUUGAAACUAUAUAUUAUUAAUCAACCUUAGUUGUCCUUCUGAUCACUUCUAAGGUUAUGUAAAGAAUACUGUUUAAUAAUUACAUGCACAAAUAAAGUGCCUAGAGAGGGAGUGCAGCUCUCGUAGUUGUUGUGGGUUGUGAUUAUUUUUCUCCAAGAUUAAUCUUCACCAUGUUCUGCCAUGGCCAGCAUUGAUGUUGGCAGGCCAAAGGCAAAGGGUGUAAACCAGGAAUAUUCUCUAGGAUGGGCUAAACUUUUUCCUUCUGUCUUUGUAGUAGAGUGCUAAAACUAAAAUACCUUGAAUUAGUCGGUAUUCUUUAAUUUGUUAACUGUGUGAUACAACUAAAGGUUAGCAUAUCUUAGAUUCAAAGAAUGUCACCUCUUGAAUCAUCUACCAGAAAAAGUUCUAAAUCAAAAAACUAUAAUAAUAUGCAAACCGUAACCAUAAAGGAAAAAACAUCACAUCGAAAUGAAUUGGCAACAGCAGCAUGCAUAACUCAAACAACAAAUUAAGAAGAACUCACAAGAUAAUUAUUUGAUGCAAGCAUUCAUCAACAAAUGUUCAAUAAGAGGAUAUGAAGAAUAGGGAAAAACAAGAAACUAGAGAUGAGGGAUAAUAUAAGUCUUACCUUAAUCAGAGAGACUGAAUAAAUUGAAACCAGAGAUGGAACUGGUUUUCAAGACAAAGGCAGCCAACGAAAGAUAGAGGGAACAAUGAAUGGCCGAAUGGGAAUUGACACCGAACAAUGUGGGAGGGAGAAAUGGGGUUUUGUUUGGUUGAGAUUCGAAGAUUAAAACGUGGCUUUUCUCAUUGGGCUUUUUCAAAAGCUAAAAUUAAUCAAUGGUCUAAAUCUAAAGUGGGUUGGGUUGAAAGGGUUGGCUUUUUUGUUUGUGGGUUGAAGUGUUUAAAAAGAUUGGCUAAGCUGUAGCCCGACCCAAUUAACCAAUAAAUUAAAAAUAAUUUUGUAUAUUUUUUUAUCUGAAUUUUAAUGAUUCUAUCAAAGAAAGAAAUCUAUACGUCUUUCUAAGAAAUUUCCCCUUAAAUUUUUUAGUUCUCGAAGCAAGCUUUCUGUGAUAUCAGGUAAGUCUGAUCCAGUGGGGUUAGUGGGGUCGCCCAACCUCUUGGAAGCCAUGGAAAUCAGCUUAGAUGCCCCUUGGAGCUGCUGGUGCGACCUCUUGAAGCUGCACACCAAGUGGUCGACGAAAUGACUGAAAUAAGGAAGGUUUGCAGCUGAAGAAGAAGAAGGGAGGGUUUGUUGUGCCCGGGGCUGUUGACGUUGUUUUAGGCCAGGUCUGAAACAUUUUAAAAAUUAAAAAUAAAAAAAAAUCGCUCAACGUAUGUCCUUCUUCACAGCAGCGAUUCCUCCAAUCUCAACCCCAAAAUUCUUUUGUUUUCUCUUCCAAACCCUCAACUCCAUCUCCUCCCUUCCUGCCGCCACUAAAUUUUUAUUUAAACUUUUAUAAUAAAACUCAUUUUGAUAAUAUUCAUAACUCCACCACUGGUCUGAUCAAAAAAAAUAAGUAAACAAAUAUUUUUGUAGAAGAAAAUUUGUCGAGACAAGCCUUAUCCCAUAAUUUAUCCCCAAAAAAAAAAAAGAAAAAAAAGAAUACUUCAUGGAAAACCAUUACAUGGCGUUGUUUAACAGAAAAACAAACUUUAACCAAAAUAAAAUUACCAAAUAAGGCAGGAAGUGGGUGUAGAGGUUCUCAGGCUCACAUUAGUUAGCAAUUGGCCUCAUUCUUGGAGAUCACGCAAUUGUAUCCAAUGAAGCAAUUGAAAAAGACAAAUUAUGUUUUCUCUUAUUAUGUUGAAGUUAAAUAUAUUCUCUUAUUAUGUUUUCUUAUUGGGUUUAAAAUCUUACCAAAUUAGUUGGGGCGCAAAAUCAUAGCCAAAGCCAUAGUGCGGGCUCACAUCUUUCAUGUUCAACCAACUUGGAGUAUUUUCAGAAUUCUCAGGCCCAAGAAGGCUUUUUAUUAUAUAUAUAAUAUACUUUUAUAACAAUGAGUCCAAGACCAGGUUUUGAUAGCUGAACAGACUCUAGUGUCUCGAAUCAAACUAACUUAACAUCGAGUAGCCUACAAAAUUUCUUAAUAGUUAGUCAUACGAUGCGUUGCGUGCGGGUCUAUAUUGAUUUAGCGUGCUUAGUUGGAUUUAUCCUGCUGUUAACCUCGACCACACAUAUGGACGGGCAUUAGGAGUGGAAAAUCGGAACACCGAACCAAAUCGAAUGAAAAAAAGGAAAAAAACUGAUUGACCAAAAAAUUUAACAAACUGAGACAAAACCGAAUCAGAUCAAACUGAUUUUAAUUUCGAUUUCAUACCGCACCAAACCAAACCGGUUGUGUAUAAAUUUUUUUUUUAUACAAAAUUAUCUAAAUCCAAUGCUCCAUUUUUAAUUUUAGGACUAAUAUUUUUCCAAGUCCAACUUCAAAGCAUCUCUCUUUGUAUGAAUUGGAUCAUUUGUUAAUUUUCAAGCUAAAAAAUAAUUUUUUUUUGUUAGCAUUUGUAUUUAAAAAUAAUAAAAAUAAUAAGGUUCAAAACCAGAAUCGAUGAGAACCAAACAAGCCAAUUUUUAAAAAAAUUUCAUUAAUAUCGAAUAGAACAGAACCAGUUAAAUAGUACCAAUUUUAAUUUGAGAUGAGAAUCGGACCGUGCCCGCCCUUACCCACACAUGCUGGCAAUGGCAUGCAUGAUAGUUUUCAUUUCAAAACCCUUAGAGGUCAUUUGUGGUCCGAAAAUGAAAAUCAUAGUUGAAAAAGUAUUUCAAAGAACCAAGAUUUUUCAUCCCAAAUUCCUUGGACAAAUAGUCAUGUAAGCUUUUCAUUCUUUUGGAUAAUUUCCUAUCACAAAUGGUCUUGUAAUGCUUUUCGUUCUUCUGAAACAUUUAAAAUAAGAGAAAUGUCCUUUUUUAAUAAGGGAAUUUUCCUUAAUAAAUGUAAAUAUUAAGAAUUAAAAUAAUUAAUCAACUAUAAAUAAUAAGGUAAAUUUAUACUUUUUAUUUAAAAAAUAAAAACAAAAUCAUAUAAUGGUCAUAUUUUUACCAAGGGACUAGUUAUAUAUAAUCAUCCAAAACAAAACAAAAUUAAAAUUAAAAAUAGGGGUCCAAGAAAUAGGGAGAUUAACUAUUAUACCCCAAUAUACGGCCUAAAUUAUAAAAAUACCCUAUAUGAAAUGGACUUUAGAAACACACCCAAAACCCAUUUACAACAUAACAAAGAGGUUUUUAACUUCUUAUAAAUUACAAACUGCCAUCAAUUUCUUAAAACAAGUCAAACCCCAAAAUCUCAUAAAAAUACCCAAAACACUCAAUAUGGCAUCAAAGUAAUUUAAUAAUCAAUAUUAAAUUCAAUAAGGCAAGUUGUCAUUUUUUGGGUUUUUUUCCGGUUUGUUUAUAGAAAUUCAAUGGUGUAUAAUUUAUCUAUAAUAUUAGUGCAUGAAUGAAUAUACCACUAAAUAUCUCCAAGAAAUAAUGUGAUAUGGGCCCGGGGUCGUAGUCCAGGUCAUGGAACGGAGCCCAGAGAAAGUAAGUAUAAAACACGCCGAAGAAAACCUAGACGACACAGAAAACCUUUCGCGUUGGAAGCUUGCAAAUUGCAAUCGGAAAGAACCUCAACAGGUCUGUUCCCCAAUGUGAAACCCUUAAAUUUAUGUAUCGUAUGUAUAUUUUAUGAUUCUUUGCCUUCAAUAAUUUUCUCCCCUUCAGUUGAUUUUUACCCUCUGUUCUUUAAUAUUCUGAACCAAUCAAUUCAUCAAUUCCCCAAACCCUAAUCGAUCCUUUGCAUGUUAACUUUUCGUAAAAACCAUCCAAGUCACAAUGCAUGUCUUGAUCUACUGGUGUUCAAUGUUGUUUUGUUGUUCCUAAUUUGCAGAGAUCAGUCGUAGUGGAGUUUCGCCAUGGCCGAAAGCUCUUGCAAGCUUGAAAAUCAUCUGGGUUCGUUUUCUUGUCUUUUUGUUUUUUGGGUUAAUGAUAUAGGUUUUGCAAUACCCGUAUGCCGAUAUCAUGUUUGGCCUUUUCAUCUGUUUUCUUCUUUUGGUUUUUGAUAUUUUAGAAACGAUGCGAGCAGAAGAGAACAUUUCAGAUCCAGCCCCAGUAAGAAUUUUACUGAAUCAUAUUUGUUUACUUCCUUCCUAGGCAGGCAUUCAGAGGAAUUUUAUGUUCUAAUUUGAGUAUUUAUGCAGAUGGUUGUGAAGAAUGCUGCCGCUGCGGCUUCCCUAAGUGUCAUUCCUGACAUUAAUAAGAUGAAGAAGAAGAAGAAGAGGUUUGCUACCAAUUCCUUUAAUUCUUUUGAUUCGUAUUGCCACAAUAGUGGAACAAGAAUAAUGUUUGCCUUUUCAUUUAUUUAUUUUUUAUGUUCAGGAAACCGACAGUAGUAAUAUCUCCGGUUAGAGCUUUAAUUUUAGACACUUGGAAUAUGAGGCACGUGUGGAAGGAUGCGGUGAGAAUUUCAUUGACUUAAUUUGUUUUACUGCCUAUGGCUAUGUCAUUCAGUGGAAAUAUAUACUCUGUUCUAACUUGAGCCUCAUGCAUCUGAUUGUGCAGAAUGGUAUAAGUGGUACUGAAAAACAUAUAGACCCUUGGCUUUUGAGGGAGACGGACCCAGAUUUGGUACCAGUAAGAAUUUCAUAACAUUAAAUAUGUUUACUUUGUAUGGAUGCAUUCGAUGGUUAUACUUUGUUUUAAUUUGAGCUUCCAUGCAGGUGGCUGUGGAGAAGGAUGCAAGGAGUGAUAUUGCUGAGAUUGACGCGAAGAAGUUAGUUGCCAAUUCAAUUCCCUUGUACUUUAAGUAUAUCUUGAUUUGAUUUAUUGUUAUCAUACCAUGGAAUAGAAAUGUUCUCUUUUUGUUUGUGCUUUGGACAUAUAUAUAUAUAUAUAUGUUUAUAAAUUGUUCAGGAAAAACAGAAGAUGUAUGUAUUCUGUUGUGUUUUUGUUGUUGCAAAUAAAGUUGUGCAUGCAAUUUAUGCUUAUAUAGAUUAUAGAUACGAUGUCUUCAUGUGUUAAAUUUGUGCAUUUAGACGUACUUACUUUAUUACUACAAAGUCAAACUCUAAGUUCAAUUUGUGUUGGUAAUUAACUUUAUCUCAAUUGAAGAUUUUGUUUAUCUGACCGCAGGUACCUUCUCCCCAAGGAUGCACUUCUUGGAGAUUUUAUUGCUUAUGUUCGGAUGUGGAUCUUUCUAAAGAAAAGAAAACCUAUAUUUGUCUUCUUCAAAAACACUGUACCUCCCACAGGUGAGAUCAACUCCUUUUUUAAAAUAGGCAUAUAUAUAUAUAUAUAAUAAUAGUAUCUUCGUUUCCAACUCUCCUUUGUCUUUCAAUGAAUGUUACAGGUGCCUCUAUGGGUGCAGUUGAUGAGGAAAAUAAGGAUGAUGAUGGAUUUCUUCACAUGACCUACAGUGGGAAUGAUACCUUCAGCUACAGUGGGAAUGUUGUGACCUGUUGAUUAUUUAUAGUUUAUCCUCUUUAUCUUAAGAUCAAUGGGCUAGUUUAUUAUGGUGCUAUAAGUGUUUAUUUUUUGAUAUCUCAAGGGAUUUUCAUGUAUGGAGUUAAAAUAUUUUAAUGAUUUGCUAGUGAUCUUUAUGUGUAUUGAUGUUGGAUGAGGGAAUUCCAAUGUCAUUUGGUUGCCAUGGUUGCCUUUCAGUUAAAAGCUUUAUCGGGUUUUGCAUUUGAUCAAUCUCCAACAACCCAAGAACCGAACCAUAUACUAUGUAAGAAAUAAAUAAAUAGAAACGUUGAUAUAGAUCCUAGUUCUCAUUGAAGAGUUGGGUUUGAUUCUUAGAUUGUGUUAUUUAUAUAAGUCCUUUGACUUUUGUUCUAUAUACGAUUAUAUUUAUUUUUAAAUAUUUUCUUACGUAUUCUUUUUAUUCAUUUAUUUUUUAACAUUUGUUCUAUAUAUGAUUACAUUUAUUUUUGAAUAUUUUCUGAUGUAUUCUUUUUAUUUUUUUAUUUUUAAAAUUAUUUUUGUUUCAAUUGCCUCUUAUAACUUGAAUAAGAUAAUAGUCAUUUAUGUCAUAAUAAUUAGCUAUUUACAAUGUUUGUCAUAGAAUAGAAAAAAAUAUAUAGCAAACAUAUCCCACAAAUCACAUUUUUACGUACAGUCAUGCAACUUCGAACUCUAAAUGUUUUGACAAAGAAAAAAAUGAAUUUGUUUAUGGUGUAGGUAUAUUGUCUUAUUGCCUAUUGAAUAGGUACCUAUGUGAUUUUUUUUUCCUUCAUAUUUUCGAUAAUAUGUAAUUUAUGUUCUAAAUUUUUAUAGGUUACAUAAAAUUUUAUUUGUCUAUUUGCCUAUUUUUGGCGUAUGCUGUUUUCCAUAGCAUGUUUUAUGAGCUAGAUAUAUACAUUAUUUGGGUUUUCCCAAUUUCUUUGCAAAUUGCAAACAAAAGUCGUCCCACCAACUGAUAACUAAAGCUAGCUACACUCGUCGCAUUGUUGGAUUUUAUCUGGGGCGCCAAUAUAGACUUGAGUCAUGACCAUACAAAUUACAAUUAAGAUGCCAAAAUGCCUUACAACUAAAUUCCUUAUACGUACAGUACGUACCAAACUGAAAUGUAUUAUAUAAUAAAAGAAAUGUAAUUUGUUUUUAUCUCCUUUUAAAAUAUAAGGAAGCUUGGUACAAAAUAUCAGACACCGGCUGCAAUGGGAUGAUAUAUCUUUCAAAUUAGAUAAAAGAAUAUAUAUUUUGAGCUGAUAAUUGGUUCUAGAAGCGUUUAGAAAUUAGAAUAGGACUUCUAAUAUCAAUAGGUUCCAUUGCAAGUGUCUUAUCUAAGACCCUAUCUCUUAACCGUUAGAUAAAAUUAGUUCAUUAUUAAGAUACAACUAAAAAAGAAAUUCAUCCAAAUUCCUGCCAUCUAUAUGUGCGCGAGUUGGAAGCAUGAAAAAUAAAAAGGAAGAGGCUGAAUCCUUGUGAUAUAUUAUAUAUGACAAGUAAAUAAUGAGAACUUUAUUAAUUAAGGGAUGACAACGUUGAUGAUUCCUUACAAUAAACAAUUGAUUUGCUAAGCCCAUCGAAUGGUGACGGUUAGCUAGCCCUUAUUCCUUGCACUUGCACAUACACACGUACACUAAUUCAUAGCCUUAUAAAUUAUUUUCAUGUAUAUAGGAUAUAGCUAGCUUUGAGCAAAAUAAAAUAAUAAAAGUAUAGCUACGCAAUUAAUAUUGCAAUAUCCUUAUUCCUUAUCGAUCCAGUAGCAGUGAUCUAUCUGGUGCGUCAUGAUAAUUAGUGUUCAUGCAUAGCUGCACAUUCCUUUCUUUUCGUGCACGUGUUGUUGCAGCUGCCGCAGUUUUCCUUGUCCGACAUCGGAUUCACACAGUUACCUUCGCAGCAAAUCUCUGCGUAAUUGCAUUUCCUCCCACACCUGCCGCAGUUCGCUGUGUCUGUGUUUCUGUCCACGCAUUUCUUGUUGCAGCAAUCCGGCCCUGCGCUGCCCGACGCCUGACAAACCUUAGGGUUUUUGUCGCAAGUCAUGGCAGUCGGCCGGGAGGCAAGGAAGCGGCUUCUUAGAGAAGUGCUUUUUCCAAACUGGUUUUUGGUUUCGUCAUUUGCAUAAGUAUUGUUUUCCUCGUUGAAAAAUGAUUCUUCUUCGUCUGGUAUUGCAGAGAGAGUAGUGAUGGCUGAAGCUAUUAGCAUGGCAAGAAUUAGAAAAACCUUGAAGCGCAGAGGUUUUUCUGCAUCGUGUACCCAACAUAGAAAAAACAACGUUCGACCAGCUUCCUUUCGUUUACCUUGACUAAUUGAGUUCUCCUUUGGAAAGAAACUUCUACAUCCAACCUUUGAACCUCUCCUUUAGGCUUUUAUAUAUUUUAGCAUGGGAAAAGUGUAGUCGUCUAUGUUACGUCUAUGUUAGGAAUUUAUAUUACGUCUAUGUUAAUCAGGAUAGGUGCCGCAAAUCGUGAGGUAGAAGUCUUGUAACUGAGCUGGUCUUUAGUUGGUUUGGGCUUUUCCUCCUUAAACUAACCUUCACAUGGGCUUAUAUUAAGAAAAAUACGAUUUUAAGCAAAGCCCACGCCCAACUAUAAAGAAAAAGAAAUAUUUCAUGCCCAAUGGUCACCCAAAGGAAAUGGAAAUGGGAAGACAAAUGCCGACUCAUCAUUACUUGUUCUCCAAUAUGCUCAUCUCUUCCGCAGCAAGCCACAAAUGACAACAAAUGACAAAGCAGCAGAAGCAGCAUAACAAAAAAAAUAAAAAGAGAAAAGACUGUUGUAAAAGAAUAAACAUGUGGAGCUCACUAACUAUUCAUUACUAUUCAUUUGGAGACUUUUGGUAGAGUUUGUCUGUCACGGGUGAAUAGUGAAUAGUGAUGAAUAGUGAUUAUUUCAGCCUAUAAAUAAGAAGAGAAACGGAAAGAGAAGAGAAGAAAAAAGAAGAGAGAAAGAAAAGAAGAAAAAGAAGAGAGAAAGAAAAGAGGAAAAGAAGAAGAGAGAAAGAGAUAGGAAACGGGGAGAAGAAAAGGAAAGGAGGAAAGAGAGAAGAAAAGGAAAGAAGGAAAGAGAAGAGGAAAGGGAAAGGAGGAAAGAGAGUCAGGCAGAGAAGAGGAAGAGAAGGAAGAAAUAGGGUGAGUGAGCAGAGAGAAAAUUCAGUGAGCCUUACAUAUUGUAAACACUAAAGUUGUAGCCCUAUUAUUUUACAUAGUGGAAAAGUUACUACUGCUGCUCUCCGGGGACGUAGGCAUAGCCGAACCUCGUUAAAUACUGUGUCUCAUCUACUUUACGUGCAGCUCAAUAUUCGCACAUAUUCCAGGUCAUUUUAUAACACGUUAUCAGCAUGCAUCCCGCUCCCUCUACUCAAGUUUCUCCAACUUAUCCUACGAAACACACAACAUCUAUCAUAUGGUAAUGAAUAGUGGCAAUAAUUAUUUGAUUGUUCCAUUUAAUUACUACAAUAGGCAUUAAUAUAACUUAUUUUUGCCGCUUCAUCAUUAAUUGGCCUAGGAGUAGGGCCCUUCUUACUGUAAGCAAGCCUGAAAAUUAUGCAGAUUGAAUAUCAUCGACAAACAAAUACCAUUGCCUUUGAACCAAAUAUUAUAUAUGAAGAUACUAGUUAAGGACUUAAUAUUAAUUGCACACUAAAAACAAAAAAUUCUAAAAAGCACAGGUUGAAGCAAUGACACUCUCAACCAAAAAACAAAGUAAACAUCACUUCCCCAACGAAGCUUGGUUAAAGACCAAAUAACAUACUAGCUAAAAGACAUGCAUACUUUGAAGCAGUCAAAAUUAUUCAUGCACCAAAUUUAAAACAACCUGAAAAUAAAAAACGAGAAGCCACUACCCAAGUAUCGGAAAUUUGUAUAACUAACAAGCAAAAUAGCAAAAGCAUUGUGUGUUACUUGCAAUUUUCUUAUAAAGCCUCUGAAACAGCAGGAGUGUAGAUCCCAAGGACAAAGGUAAACAUAUGUUUAUAUUCUUGCAAAAGUUAUUAGGUUGUAAAACAAUCCACCAAAAGAAGAGGAAAUAACCCUUCCUUAAUCUAGUUUAAUACAAAAUCUACACUUAUUAUAUCAGAGAAGCAGAAGCACCAAACAAGAAGCGAUUCAAUUUCUUGUCAUUUUAACAAUCAUUGCUUACUGAUAGUAUGUUCAAAAGGGGAAAUUUUUUAUAUAUAAAGAAAAUAACCAUGAAGUCCCUAAUAAGAGUAAUAUAGGCCGAAGGUUAAAACAUCAACCUCCUCUACAACACCAAGGGAAUUACUAAAUUAGAUACAAAAAUGGUAUCCUCCAAACAUGCUUUACAUAGAGCAGCAGAAAACCUAGGAGAAACACGUUUGGAAAAGACAAAUAUUGAGCCAAAACAUAAGAUUUUACCUUGACUGAGUUAUGGUCAAUCUUUAGAGGCUUUGUAUGAACUGCAACUUAAUCAAUUGAAACACAUUUUUACAAAUAACGAAGGGGGAAAAAUCAGACAUGAGAAUUCAUGAACAAAAGGGCAACUCUAAUAACCACCACACUAAGCAAAUGAUACACAAAAUGUGAUAAUUAUAAAAUGAAUGUGAUAAUUAUAAAAUGCAGGUCAACAUCCAUACCAGCAACUAAUUUGUCAAAGUCAUCAUGAUAUGGUGAUAAGAUAUAUAUAUAUAUAUAUAUAUAUAUAUAUAUCUAGUACAAGUUUAGACUAGCAAAAAGAAUUAAUGCAAUCAGUGAUACAUAAACAAAUUAAACAACAAGUAGAGGGGGGGGGGGGGGGGGGGAUUUGGACUUGUACUGAUUCAGGUUGAUGAAUCAGACAUCUUCUGUUUCUUAAAACUACCAAUAUAUCUAUCCACUAAAAGUGGAAGAGACAAGACAACUGCCUCACUCUCUUAUACUCAAACCUUACAGAUGGUCUCAAAAUUGCAUACUGCUUAUAAAACAUCGACAACUAGGGAUGAGAUUAUAUUGAUAAAACUACAAAAACGUUCUCAAAACAUCAAGGAUCCAGUUCAACAGCUGCAAAUAUCAAGUCUAAUUGUACAAAACAAGAAGAGCCACGAGAUUCACAAUUUGUAAUGAAUGAAAGCAAACCAAGAGCAACGCACUAAGUACCUAUUUUAAGCAUAUCCAUGGAGCUAUUAUGUAAUAUACGCACUAGUUACUUGGCAUCAACCACUACACGGGCAAUAGAAUCCCCUGAUAACCUAAAUUGUAAACCAAAAUUUCAAGCUAGCUAGUAAUUAAAACAAUGAUGACAAAAUUACUUGGGUAAAUUUUAAGUGCAUAUGUAAAACAAUGAUGCCUAGCUACGACUACUCUGGUUGGGUUAGCGUUGCCUCCAACCGCGUCACAUCUUCCACUCGUCAUAUCUAUUUUUUGUAUAGUUUUCAACAUUUUAUAGGGACUGUUUCUAUUAUCAGUCUCUAAUAAAAGGUCCCUAUAUAAAAUUUUUCUAGUAGUGACGUAAAGCAAAUUAACAUGCUUUACCAACAAAGCAGCGCAGGACCUGCACUUGAAGUUAAAGCAGGAACCAUGGAUCCAUCUAGGACCUUAAACGACUGAGUUUUAGAGUAGAGUGGGUAACAGCUUCCAUAUCCAGAUUGAACAAAAAAAGCACCAUUUUUGAACACAUCCCUUGAAGAUCUCCAUUUCCAAUUAUUCCAACGUCCUCCAGACUCUCUCUUUGUAGUCUGUUUUGCGUAAGCAGUUUCAGGCGCUAUGAAGUAGUUCCCAUCACUGAAAAUGGUCGGGUUAGCGUUGGCUCCAACCGCGUCACAUCUUCCACUCGUCAUAUCUAUUUUUUGUAUAGUUUUCACCUCUCCUGUUAUAAGAGCUUUUCACCUCUCUUUUGUAAGAACUUUUUAUGAUCUUGCGUGAUCAUUAAUGGCGGCACACCUUGUUGUCUUAAUUUUGAUGUUAGAUCACUUCGUUAUUGUAAUGGCCUUUUGUAGUUAAUGACUUUUUUUAACUAAAUUAUGAAUGCAAUCCCAUAAUUUAUCCCCAAAAAAAAAAAAAAGGAGAUACUUCAUGGAAAACCAUUACAUGGCGUUGUUUAACACAAAAACAAACUUUAACCAAAAUAAAAUUACCAAAUAAGGCAGGAAGUGGGUGUAGAGGUUCUCAGGCUCACAUUAGUUAGCAAUUGGCCUCAUUCUUGGAGAUUACGCAAUUGUAUCCAAUGAAGCAAUUGAAAAAGACAAAUUAUGUUUUCUCUUAUUAUGUUGAAGUUAAAUAUAUUCUCUUAUUAUGUUUCCUUAUUGGGUUUAAAAUCUUACCAAAUUAGUUGGGGCGCAAAAUCAUAGCCAAAGCCAUAGUGCGGGCUCACAUCUUUCAUGUUCAACCAACUUGGAGUAUUUUCAGAAUUCUCAGGCCCAAGAAGGCUUUUUAUUAUAUAUAUAAUAUACUUUUAUAACAAUGAGUCCAAGACCAGGUUUUGAUAGCUGAACAGACUCUAGUGUCUCGAAUCAAACUAACUUAACAUCGAGUAGCCUACAAAAUUUCUUAAUAGUUAGUCAUACGAUGCGUUGCGUGCGGGUCUAUAUUGAUUUAGCGUGCUUAGUUGGAUUUAUCCUGUUGUUAACCUCGACCACACAUAUGGAUGGGCAUUGGGAGCGGAAAAUCGGAACACCAAACCAAAUCUAAUGAAAAAAAGGAAAAAAACUUAUUGACCAAAAAAUUUAACAAACUGAGACCAAACCGAAUCAGAUCAAACUGAUUUUAAUUUCGAUUCAAUACCGCACCAAACCAAACCGGUUGUGUAUAAUUUUUUUUUUUUUUUUACAAAAUUAUUUAAAUCCAAUGCUCCAUUUUUAAUUUUAGAACUAAUAUUUUUCCAAGUGCAACUUCAAAGCAUCUCUCUUUGUAUGAAUUGGAUCAUUUGUUAAUUUUCAAGCUAAAAAAUAAUUUUUUUUUGUUAGCAUUAAUAAAAAUAAUAAUACGGUUCAAAACCAGAAUCGAUGAGAACCAAACAAGCCAAUUUUUUUUAAAAUUUCAUUAAUAUCGAAUAGAACAGAACCAGUUAAAUAGUACCAAUUUUAAUUUGAGAUGAGAAUCGGACCGUGCCCGCCCUUACCCACACAUGCUGGCAAUGGCAUGCAUGAUAGUUUUCAUUUCAAAACCCUUAGAGGUCAUUUGUGGUCCGAAAAUGAAAAUCAUAAUUGCAAAAGUAUUUCAAAGAACCAAGAUUUUUCAUCCCAAAUUCCUUGGACAAAUAGUCAUGUAAGCUUUUCAUUCUUUUGGAUAAUUUCCUAUCACAAAUAGUCUUGUAAUGCUUUUUGUUCUUCUAAAACAUUUAAAAUAAGAGAAAUGUCCUUUUUUAAUAAGGGAAUUUUCCUUAAUAAAUGUAAAUAUUAAGAAUUAAAAUAAUUAAUCAACUAUAAAUAAUAAGGUAAAUUUAUACUUUUUAUUUAAAAAAUAAAAACAAAAUCAGAUAAUGGUCAUAUUUUUACCAAGGGACUAGUUAUAUAUAAUCAUCCAAAACAAAACAAAAAUUAAAAUUAAAAUUAAAAAUAGGGGUCCAAGAAAUAGGGAGAUUCACUAUUAUACCCAAUAUAUGGCCUAAAUUAUAAAAAUACCCUAUAUAAAAUGGACUUUAGAAACACACCCAAAACUCAUUUACAACAUAACAAAGAGGCUUUUAACUUCUUAUAAAUUACAAACUGUCAUCAAUUUCUUAAAACAAGCUCAACUCCAAAAUCUCAUAAAAAUACUCAAAACACUCAAUAUGACAUCAAAGUAAUUUAAUAAUCAAUACUAGCCUCUCUGCACGCGCUUCCGCGCAUGCGAGAGGUUUUUUUUAAAAAAAUUUUAAAUUUAUUUUAGAAUUAAAAAAGAUAAUGGAUAUUUGUGUUCCAUAAAAAUAGGAUCCAUUAUCUGAAUUUUCUUUUAAUUUUAAUUUUUUUAAUACGAAAAAUUGUGAAUUUACCAUAUUAUCCUCAUUUAAUUAAUAAUUUCAAUUCUUAAUGUUUGCAUUAACCAAGGGCAUUUUCUGGUAUUUUGAAUGUUUCACCAUUCUCUACCUUUUGCUUUAUAUAUAUAGAUUAAAUUCAAUAAGGCAAGUUGUCAUUUUUUAGGUUUUUUUCCGGUUUAUUUAUAGAAAUUCAAUAAUAUAGGAUUUAUCUAUAAUAUUAGUGCUAAGAAUGGGUAUACCGCUAAAUACCUCCAAGAAAUAUUGUGAUAUAGGCCUCGGGUCGUAGUCCAGGUCAUGGAACGGAGCCCAGAGAAAGUAAGUAUAAAACACGCCGAAGAAAACCUAGAUGACCUUUGGCGUUGGAAGCUUGCAAAUUGCAAUCGGAAAGAACCUCAACAGGUCUGUUCCCCAAUGUGAAACCCUUAAAUUUAUGUAUCGUAUGUAUAUUUUAUGAUUCUUUGCCUUCAAUAAUUUUCUCCCCUUCAGUUGAUUUUUACCCUCUGUUCUUUAAUAUUCUGAACCAAUCUAUUCAUCAAUUCCCCAAACCCUAAUCGAUCCUUUGCAUGUUAACUUUCCGUAAAAACCAUCCAAGUCACAAUGCAUGUCUUGAUCUACUGGUGUUCAAUGUUGUUUUGUUGUUCCUAAUUUGCAGAGAUCAGUCGUAGUGGGAGUUUCGCCAUGGCCGAAAGCUCUUGCAAGCUUGAAAAUCAUCUGGGUUCGUUUUCUUGUCUUUUUGUUUUUUGGGUUAAUGAUAUAGGUUUUGCAAUACCCGUAUGCCGAUAUCAUGUUUGGCCUUUUCAUCUGUUUUCUUCUUUUGGUUUUUGAUAUUUUAGAAACGAUGCGAGCAGAAGAGAACAUUUCAGAUCCAGCCCCAGUAAGAAUUUUACUGAAUCUUAUUUGUUUACUUCCUUCCUAGGCAGGCAUUCAGAGGAAUUUUAUGUUCUAAUUUGAGUAUUUAUGCAGAUGGUUGUGAAGAAUGCUGCCGCUGCGGCUUCCCUAAGUGUCAGUCCUGACAUUAAUAAGAUGAAGAAGAAGAAGAAGAGGUUUGCUACCAAUUCCUUUAAUUCUUUUGAUUCGUAUUGCCACAAUAGUGGAACAAGAAUAAUGUUUGCCUUUUCAUUUAUUUAUUUUUUAUGUUCAGGAAACCGACAGUAGUAAUAUCUCCGGUUAGAGCUUUUCUUUUAGACACUUGGAAUAUGAGGCACGUGUGGAAGAAUGCGGUGAGAAUUUCAUUGACUUAAUUUGUUUUACUGCCUAUGGCUAUGUCAUUCAGUGGAAAUAUAUACUCUGUUCUAACUUGAGCCUCAUGCAUCUGAUUGUGCAGAAUGGUACAAGUAGUACUGAAAAACAUAUAGACCCUUGGCUUUUGAGGGAGACGGACCCAGAUUGGGUACCAGUAAGAAUUUCAUAACAUUAAAUAUGUUUACUUUGUAUGGAUGCAUUCGAUGGUUAUACUUUGUUUUAAUUUGAGCUUCCAUGCAGGUGGCUGUGGAGAAGGAUGCAAGGAGUGAUAUUGCUGAGAUUGACGUGAAGAAGUUAGUUGCCAAUUCAAUUCCCUUGUACUUUAAGUAUAUCUUGAUUUGAUUUAUUGCUAUCAUACCAUGGAAUAGAAAUGUUCUCUUUUUGUUUGUGAUUUUGAUAUAUAUAUAUAUAUAUAUAUAUAUAUGUAUGUUCAGAAAUCGUUCAGGAGAAACAGAAGCUGAAUAUAUGUGUUUUUGUUACAAAUAAAGUUGUGCAUUUUAAAGUGUACAUGCGGUUUAUGCUUAUAUAGAUUAUAGAUAUGAUGUAUUCACCUGUUCAUUUUGUGCAUUUAGAUGUACUUGCGUUAUUACUACAAAGUCAAACUCCAAGUUCAAUAUGUGUUGGUAAUUAACGUUAUCUCAAUUGAAGAUUUUGUUUCUCUGACCGCAGGUACCUUGUCCCUAAGGAUGCACUUCUUGGAGAUUUUAUUGCUUAUGUUCGGAUGUGGAUCUUUCUAAAGAAAAGAAAACCUAUAUUUGUCUUCUUCAAAAACACUGUACCUCCAAAGGGUGAGAUGCGCAUGCAACUCCUUUUUUAAAAUAGGCAUAUAUAUAAUAAUAGUAUCUUCGUUCCCAACUCUCCUUUGUCUUUCAAUGAAUGUUACAGGUGCCACUUUGGGUGCAAUUGAUGAGGAAAAUAAGGAUGAUGAUGGAUUUCUUCACAUGACCUACAGUGGGAAUGAUACCUUCAGCUACAGUGGGAAUGUUGUGACCUGUUGAUUAUUUAUAGUUUAUCCUCUUUAUCUUAAGAUCAAUGGGCUAGUUUAUUAUGGUGCUAUAAGUGUUUAUGUUUUGAUAUCGCAAGGGAUUUUCGUGUUAAAAUAUUUUAAUGAUUUGCUAGUGAUCUUUAUGUGGAUUGAU
This 36630-nucleotide long non-coding RNA is filed under the name Prunus persica (peach). Its description in RNAcentral is "long non-coding RNA (PPER_LNC003955)". Lineage: Eukaryota; Viridiplantae; Streptophyta; Magnoliopsida; Rosales; Rosaceae. The record is from RNAcentral.